RNAcentral lists this ribosomal RNA (927 nucleotides) under Triticum aestivum (bread wheat). RNAcentral describes it as "partial small subunit ribosomal RNA". The record is from RNAcentral. Lineage: Eukaryota; Viridiplantae; Streptophyta; Magnoliopsida; Poales; Poaceae.
AUGAGUUCGCUCAGCAUGGUGGAGGCGAGGCUGCCGCCGGGGUUCAGGUUCCACCCGCUGGACGACGAGCUCGUGCUCGAUUACCUGUCCAGGAAGCUCGGCGGCGGCGCCGGAGGGGCGGCGGCCGCGGUGGCGAGCAUCUACGGCUGCCCCGCCAUGGUCGACGUCGACCUCAACAAGAUCGAGCCCUGGGACCUCCCCGAAAUUGCAUGCAUUGGUGGCAAGGAGUGGUACUUCUACAGCUUAAGAGACAGGAAGUACGCUACAGGCCAGAGAACAAAUAGAGCAACUGAAUCAGGCUACUGGAAGGCCACAGGGAAAGACCGUGCGAUAAGCCGGAAAGGGUUGCUAGUUGGCAUGAGAAAAACCCUGGUGUUUUAUGAAGGUAGAGCCCCUAAGGGUAAGAAGACUGAGUGGGUCAUGCACGAAUUCCGCAAGGAAGGGCAAGGCGAUCUGAUGAAGUUGCCACUCAAGGAGGACUGGGUCUUGUGUAGGGUUUUCUACAAGACCAGGACAACCAUCGCCAAGGCACCCACAGGGAGCAGCUACAACAUUGACAGUGCAGCCGCAACCUCACUGCCUCCCCUCAUUGACAACAACUACAUUGCCUUUGACCAUCCUGCAAUGUCGACGGUGCAAAACCUAGAGGGUUAUGAGCAAGUGCCCUGCUUCUCCAAUGGCCCCUCCUCUCACCCGUCGUCGUCGGCCUCGAUGAACAUCCCGGUGACGGCGAUGGCGCCCAUGGCCGCUGAUCAGGAGCAGCAGCACAUGGGUAAGGCGAUCAAGGACGCGCUGAGCCAGCUCACCAGGUUUGAGCAAGGCAACGUGAAGAGGGAGGCGCCUGCCCAGGGUGGUGUGUUUGCUCAAGAUGGGUUCGAGUACUUAGCUGAGAGUGGCUUCUCACAGAUGUGGAACUCACUCAAUUGA